UACGGAGGGUGCAAGCGUUAUCCGGAUUCACUGGGUUUAAAGGGUGCGUAGGUGGGUUGGUAAGUCAGUGGUGAAAUACUUUCGCUUAACGAAGGAACUGCCAUUGAUACUACCAGUCUUGAAUACAGUGGAGGUAGGCGGAAUGCGUCAUGUAGCGGUGAAAUGCUUAGAUAUGACGCAGAACACCAAUUGCGAAGGCAGCUUGCUACACUGUUAUUGACACUGAGGCACGAAAGCGUGGGGAUCAAACAGG
RNAcentral lists this ribosomal RNA (253 nucleotides) under uncultured bacterium. RNAcentral describes it as "partial 16S ribosomal RNA". It matches the Rfam family "Bacterial small subunit ribosomal RNA", at positions 524 to 776 of the family's 1533-position model. The record is from RNAcentral.